CAAAACAAAGCAAAGAAACAAAACAAAAAACAUAAUGUACUUUUAAGCUCUCUCUGUGUCCACUGCCAAGUGUCAAACUUCCUCCCUUUAGCUGAUGCAAACUAACGUUAGCGCUUACGGUUUGUACGUGAACACAACCGUCAGCUUUUCACUUUUGGUGCCGAUAAAAUUUUGAGCAUUUUCUACAGUUUGUAAAAUGGUCGUCAUUUGCAUUACAUGCCAGCAGAGUUCGCUAACUGACUUUACCGGGGAUUAUUAUUAACAGACCAAUUCUCUGCAGUUUUAGGGUGAGCUGGAAUAGGUAUAUGGUUGCAAUAAUACGGGUAAGAGCGCAACAGCAUAGAGACAAUGACGAUAACUCUAAUAAUGGCACCCAUCUCUCCCCGUCCUGGCCUCCAUCAUUAACGCUACAUUGAUGUAGAGAGUCUCUGACACAGCUGUGCUCUGCAGCCCAGACACCCUGCUUAUCUGUGAUUCGGCCAGACUGGUGUUGAACUCCUCCAAAGGCAUGCGCGGGGUUAGGACAGUGAAGUGUCUGACACUGACCAUGUACCAGUGCCUGAGAACACUGGUAUGGAGGGGGAGAACGCACCUCUUUACUGCAUUUGUCGGAAACCAGACAUCAACUGCUUCAUGAUCCUUUGCCAUGAUAAAUUGGUCAGUUUACAACCAGGAGCCGUACACCUUAACCUCAGAGGCCAGGACAUCCAGGGGCAGUGUGAACACACACUUCUUUAAAUGGGAUGCAGGACUGACUAUAGAGGGCCACCCCCUCGCCAGACAACCAAGUGCUGUCCCUGUGCACGGCCAGUGUGAGAAGGACUCUCACUAAAGUCAACCCACACAAAGCUGCUGGACCAGACAAUAUACCCGGACGUGUGCUCGGAGCCUGUGCUGACCAGCUGACUGAUGUCCUAGCGGGCAUCUUUAACAUCUCCCUGAGUCAAGCUGUUGUGCCAAGUGCUUUAAAACCACCACCAUCUUACCUGUACCAAAGACAGCUACAGCCUCGCAGUUCGAAGACAAUGGACGAUGCGAUCUCAUUGGCACUCCACCUAGCCCUAUCACAACUGGAUCAAUGCAACGUCCACCUAAGAAUGCUGUUCACUGAUUUCAUCUUAGCAUUCAACACCAUCAUUGCCCAGCAGCUGAUCGGCAAGCUGGACCUGCUCAGACUUAACACCUCCACCUGCAACAGGAUCCUGGUCUUUCUUACUGAUGGACCCCAGACAGUACAGGUUGGAAACAUAAGAUCCAACACCAUCACACUGAGCACAGCCCCCCCCCCAGGGAUGUGUGCUGAGCCCGCUACUCUUCACGCUGCUGACCCACGACUGCACCUCCAGCUCCAACAUGUGAUGAGUCAAUGUUGUGAUUGUUUGUGAUUUAUGGUCCCCCUCUCUCCUAGCCUCCACCACCCAACAAACAGUCUGUGCUUCCAAGUGUUACUUAGUGUCUUUGUCUGAAAACUUAAUAAAUUGUUAACUGUUGACUCAGUUUUCUCCUGUUUUUCACUUAGAAGGUCAGGUAAGUAAAUUGUCUUUUGGUUGGAUUUUUUUUUUCUUUUUUAGGGACGCUUAGGAGUGUUUAGGUAUUUG
Long non-coding RNA from Oreochromis aureus, 1598 nucleotides. RefSeq lists it as uncharacterized. The record is from RefSeq and is a predicted model, not a curated record. The transcript is spliced from 3 exons. NCBI's taxonomy places the organism in Eukaryota, Metazoa, Chordata, Actinopteri, Cichliformes, Cichlidae.